This 468-nucleotide ribosomal RNA is filed under the name uncultured bacterium. Its description in RNAcentral is "bacterial SSU rRNA". It matches the Rfam family "Bacterial small subunit ribosomal RNA", at positions 28 to 526 of the family's 1533-position model. The record is from RNAcentral.
GAUGAACGCUGGCGGCAUGCCUAACACAUGCAAGUCGAACGAGGACUGUUCAGCUUGCUGAACAGUUUUAGUGGCGGACGGGUGAGUAACGCGUAAGAAUCUGCCCCUGGGAGAGGGAUACCAAUUGGAAACGGUUGUUAAUACCUCAUGUGCUGAGGAGUGAAAAGGUUUACACCGCCUAGGGAUGAGCUUGCGUCUGAUUAGCUAGUUGGUGGGGUAAUGGCCUACCGAGGCAAUGAUCAGUAGCUGGUUUGAGAGGACGAUCAGCCACACUGGGACUGAGACACGGCCCAGACUCCUACGGGAGGCAGCAGUGGGGAAUAUUGGACAAUGGGCGCAAGCCUGAUCCAGCAAUGCCGCGUGGGUGAAGAAGGUCUUCGGAUUGUAAAGCCCUUUCGGCGGGGACGAUGAUGACGGUACCCGCAGAAGAAGCCCCGGCUAACUUCGUGCCAGCAGCCGCCGUAAAAC